CCUGAUCCCACAGCCCACCU
This 20-nucleotide microRNA is filed under the name Homo sapiens (human). Its description in RNAcentral is "hsa-miR-3151-3p". The record is from miRBase by way of RNAcentral. Lineage: Eukaryota; Metazoa; Chordata; Mammalia; Primates; Hominidae.